AUUGAAUUCUAGUAUUUUGGGUCAGUCCCUCUGGACAGUGGUUCUCUUCAGUGCUCCCUGGGGGCUGGAACUCUGUAGACAAACAUUAACUUUGGGGUAGACACUCUAUAUUUAUGUUCUACUCCUUCCAUUUUUACUGCAUCUACCAUUUGAUCAACAUGAAAUCAUCUCUGACUCUGCUGUGUCUGGUGGUAUGGAUGAAUGUGGAUGCUUCAUCAGCUCAGACUGUGUGCAGUGGACCUCUUCCAAAUGUGCCCAAUGCCAGGGUCACUGAGGAAAGCAUAAAAAAUGAGUACAAAGAGGACGACAUUGUCCUUUUUUCCUGCAACUUUGGCUUUGUGCCAGCAGGCAGAAUAAGUUAUCAGUGUAAGAAGAAUAAGUGGGUGGUGGUCCGUCAGGGGAAAUGCAAGCCUAAACCAUGUGAGCUCCCUGAUGAAACUGCCAAUGGCCACUACAGCAUCCACGUUGGAGAUGACUUUGUCUUUGGAGCCACUAUCAAAUACACUUGCAAUGACGGUUAUCAGAUUGUGAGCAAAAUGGACAACAGAACCUGUAUGGUGGCAGGAUGGAGCAACCACCUGCCCAUAUGUGAAGUGGUGAGUUGUGUCCCCGAGGCUACAGAUGGACGGGUGGUUGUGAGCGGUCUGCCAGAUGAUGAUGGUGUUAUACAGUACGGUCAUGAGCUCAAGUUCAGCUGCCCCAACCCAGCACACCAGCUGAAGGGAAACCCACAGGUAGUGUGUGCCGCAGGGGGGAUGUGGAACAACCAUUUCCCAACCUGUGAAGAUGUGACUUGUGAAGCUGCAGAGAAGAUUAAGAACGUGAACGUGAUAGGAAUUCCCCAAAACAACACCAUGAAGGUUGGACACAGGCUACAGUUUGAGUGCAGCAACUCUAAACACGUUCUGAAGGGGAAAUCAGAGGUCACCUGCUCAGCCAAUGGACAGUGGAGUCACUCCAUUCCAAUUUGUUAUGAGCCCAAGGAUUUCUGUGGACCACCUCCACAGGUCAAUAACGGAGACAGAGACAGAACCAGAGAACGCUACAGAAAUGGAGAAUCAGUUCAAUAUGUCUGCCAGAAAUUCUACAUCCUUGAUCCCCCUUCAGCGUACAAGACGUGUCGUGACGGGAUCUGGACACGACCGAUAACCUGUCUGAGUAAGUUCUCUCUAAAAUAACAUUGGCCCAGUUCCUACCCAAUCGGAUGCUAACUCCCCCUUAACGAUCGAACCCUGCACUGUGGAUGAAGAGCUGAUGAACACACAGAACAUCCAAUUUAAAUAUCCUCCGGAAGAUCAAAAAGUCUAUGCCACACAUGGGGAUCAUACCACUUUUAAGUGUACUGGUCAUCUUAGACUUAGUCCAGGUAGUGUUGGUUUUCAUCAGCAGUGUAUAAAUGGGGUCAUGAACUUGCCUCAUUGCCAAUAGUGGCUUCGUCUUACGCGAAGAGAUGGCCACUUGCUUGUUGGGCAAACAUGUCAAUGAAUAACCCCUGUCAAUAGUUUGCUCAAAUUAUUUUCAGAUUCAUUGUCUGAAUAAAUGUAUGGUAUUUCAUGAUUGUCCAACAUGAAAUAAAGUGCUGCUGGUUCAAAUGUA
This is a non-coding RNA of Oncorhynchus mykiss (rainbow trout), 1596 nucleotides long. The record is from RefSeq and is a predicted model, not a curated record. Lineage: Eukaryota; Metazoa; Chordata; Actinopteri; Salmoniformes; Salmonidae.